Molecule: ribosomal RNA, 1499 nt
Filed under: Staphylococcus aureus 1101-2 2011
Lineage: Bacteria; Bacillati; Bacillota; Bacilli; Caryophanales; Staphylococcaceae
Description: partial 16S ribosomal RNA
Rfam family: Bacterial small subunit ribosomal RNA
Source: RNAcentral
AGAGUUUGAUCCUGGCUCAGGAUGAACGCUGGCGGCGUGCCUAAUACAUGCAAGUCGAGCGAACGGACGAGAAGCUUGCUUCUCUGAUGUUAGCGGCGGACGGGGGAGUAACACGUGGAUAACCUACCUAUAAGACUGGGAUAACUUCGGGAAACCGUAGCUAAUACCGGAUAAUAUUUUGAACCGCAUGGUUCAAAAGUGAAAGACGGUCUUGCUGUCACUUAUAGAUGGAUCCGCGCUGCAUUAGCUAGUUGGUAAGGUAACGGCUUACCAAGGCAACGAUGCAUAGCCGACCUGAGAGGGUGAUCGGCCACACUGGAACUGAGACACGGUCCAGACUCCUACGGGAGGCAGCAGUAGGGAAUCUUCCGCAAUGGGCGAAAGCCUGACGGAGCAACGCCGCGUGAGUGAUGAAGGUCUUCGGAUCGUAAAACUCUGUUAUUAGGGAAGAACAUAUGUGUAAGUAACUGUGCACAUCUUGACGGUACCUAAUCAGAAAGCCACGGCUAACUACGUGCCAGCAGCCGCGGUAAUACGUAGGUGGCAAGCGUUAUCCGGAAUUAUUGGGCGUAAAGCGCGCGUAGGCGGUUUUUUAAGUCUGAUGUGAAAGCCCACGGCUCAACCGUGGAGGGUCAUUGGAAACUGGAAAACUUGAGUGCAGAAGAGGAAAGUGGAAUUCCAUGUGUAGCGGUGAAAUGCGCAGAGAUAUGGAGGAACACCAGUGGCGAAGGCGACUUUCUGGUCUGUAACUGACGCUGAUGUGCGAAAGCGUGGGGAUCAAACAGGAUUAGAUACCCUGGUAGUCCACGCCGUAAACGAUGAGUGCUAAGUGUUAGGGGGUUUCCGCCCCUUAGUGCUGCAGCUAACGCAUUAAGCACUCCGCCUGGGGAGUACGACCGCAAGGUUGAAACUCAAAGGAAUUGACGGGGACCCGCACAAGCGGUGGAGCAUGUGGUUUAAUUCGAAGCAACGCGAAGAACCUUACCAAAUCUUGACAUCCUUUGACAACUCUAGAGAUAGAGCCUUCCCCUUCGGGGGACAAAGUGACAGGUGGUGCAUGGUUGUCGUCAGCUCGUGUCGUGAGAUGUUGGGUUAAGUCCCGCAACGAGCGCAACCCUUAAGCUUAGUUGCCAUCAUUAAGUUGGGCACUCUAAGUUGACUGCCGGUGACAAACCGGAGGAAGGUGGGGAUGACGUCAAAUCAUCAUGCCCCUUAUGAUUUGGGCUACACACGUGCUACAAUGGACAAUACAAAGGGCAGCGAAACCGCGAGGUCAAGCAAAUCCCAUAAAGUUGUUCUCAGUUCGGAUUGUAGUCUGCAACUCGACUACAUGAAGCUGGAAUCGCUAGUAAUCGUAGAUCAGCAUGCUACGGUGAAUACGUUCCCGGGUCUUGUACACCCCGCCCGUCACACCACGAGAGUUUGUAACACCCGAAGCCGGUGGAGUAACCUUUUAGGAGCUAGCCGUCGAAGGUGGGACAAAUGAUUGGGGUGAAGUC